RNAcentral lists this transfer RNA (72 nucleotides) under Chloroflexota bacterium. RNAcentral's name for it is "Chloroflexi bacterium tRNA-Ile". It matches the Rfam family "tRNA". From Rfam's summary of the family: Transfer RNA (tRNA) molecules are approximately 80 nucleotides in length. Their secondary structure includes four short double-helical elements and three loops (D, anti-codon, and T loops). The record is from RNAcentral. Lineage: Bacteria; Bacillati; Chloroflexota.
GGGCCUAUAGCUCAAUGGCAGAGCAGCUGGCUCAUAACCGGUUGGUUCUUGGUUCGAGUCCAAGUGGGCCCA